AAUUAUUUUAGGAGUGCUUUGCCAUAGUUUAAAGCUUGGAAGGGAGCUUUCUAUGAUUUAUUUUUCUGACUGUUUCGUCACAUGUUCUUUCCCUAGAUGAAAGUAUUGAUUUAUUUUUGGUUCUGCAGGAUCAUUGCGUCUCUGCGAGCUAAUCAGUUCUGUGAGCGUCUCCCUAGCCCCAAUGGCGAGUCAACUGUUGAUUGCCAUCAGAUCUCAAAGAUGCCAAAUCUUGCAUUCACCAUAGCAAACAAUACUUUCACCUUAACACCAGAGCAGUACAUAGUGAAGUUGGAGCAAGCAGGACAAACUAUCUGCAUCAGUGGGUUUAUGGCAUUUGACGUAGCGCCUCCUCGUGGUCCUCUCUGCUACGCUGAACAUAUCUGUACUACUCUUAAGUGUGCAACGAGGGCGUCCACCGAGGGCAUCACCGUGCCCCCGCUCGCCCCCUCCACGCCCGCGCCUGUCUGCGUCUGCCCCCUUCGUCUCCCCGCAACGGCCGCGUCCCCACCCCAGAUUUCCGCGCUCGUGAGAGCCGCCCAGAGAUUGCUCCCCUGGUCCCCCCUCUACCCCCGGCCCUACCCCCGUCCUCCCGACACGAACCCCACACACACAUUUGCUUCGCCCACCCACAUUUGUGACCCCCGCCCCGCAGCCCCUGCCCCAGCACAGGUCCGUGACCGCCGCCCCAUCUUCCACCCCACACCCCUUCUUCGUAUCUGCGUUCGCCAUGCCCCGCGCCAUCUAGCCACCUCCUCCCACCUCGCGCAUGGCGCUCCCGGCGAAUCAGCCCCCAUCACCCCCCGCCAUGCCCAUGUAUGCGCUCCCGACAACUUCAUGCCCACCCAGGAUCCUAUGCCCAAGGGUGCCGCCAACCGAUGACAGAGCAUUCUUUGUCGACAGAAGCGCCACAAGGAUGACGGCGGAGAGGGUGAUCCUGCAGACCCGCGACGACGUCAUCUAUGGGGUCUUCACGGAGGGCGGCACCGCAAUGAUGGCGGCGAGGAGGCCGACCUCACCAAGCCCAUCCAGUUCAUCUCCACCAGCAAGUUCACCCUGCAGAUUUCCAUCUCCAACACGUCGGCGAAGAAGAAGCUCUACGGUCUGGAGGAGUAAACCCUGCUCGUUGUCUCGCGUCGGUUGCUUGGUGCGCGGUCGAGAUCUGGGCAGAGAUCUAGGGCGCCGGCCAUGGCGAGCUUUGGACUCGCCUACCCCAUGUCUACGACGACAACCACGUGCGUCCUGCCCAGUCCGAUCUGCUCAGUUUCGCCAUCCCGCUUGUUUCGUGUUUGUUUCUUUGGUGGAGUUUUGAUCGAGUGUUUGCUUUUUCUUGCAUGCAAAAGCAUCGCCACAAGAGUUUGUUCUGGUGCUCACAUUGGCAAGUGUGGAACUUUCACCACAGGUUAAACAUGAAGAUAGUGAUCACCGUGCCCCCGCGAGAUCCAGGCGGAGAUCUAGGGCGUCGGCCAUGGCGAGCUUUGGACUCGCCUACCCCAUGUCUACGACGACAACCAGGUGCGUCCUGUCCGGUCCGAUCUGCUCAGUUUCUCACAUUGACACGAGGUCGGUAAUACUGACUCUUCUUAUUAGAGGGGAGGGUAGUGCAUAGCUUGGGCUGCAUCUUUAGAAUGUUGCCUUCCCUAAUAACAUGGCUGAUAUUGAUCUUUGGGAAGAGAUCAUUGUCUUCAUGUUUAACCUGUGGUGAAAGUUCCACACUUGCCAAUAAGAAGCAUGUUUCUUUAGGUUAAAGUGAACUGAAUACAAGGGAUGAAUGGAAUGCUUGCAGAGUUGUAUCAUAAGUGGUCUCUCGGCGUGUCGAUGUAAUGCACAUUAUUAACUAAUUUAAUAAUUUUAUAUGGAAUAAAACUAGGUCCAUGUAGUGUACAAUGCAUUCUCAUAAAUAUCGCAUAUACUUGAAUUGCAUAUUCCACACCUGAGACCCGCUGAGUCCAAGAGGUCCAAGUUGUCAAGGAAUUGAAGAACUGAACUGUCCAAAUGGUGUUCUGUCUAGUACUGCAGUUAAAAAGAGCUGUGAAACUGAAGAACUGUUAGCCAUGUCACAAAUCCAAAACUGUUAAACAACAGUUGUAUGUGUUGGACAAUCCAUCCAUCGAUCAGGAAACCAUACCAGGAUCUAUUGAACCAGCAGUUUUCGCGAUUGAGGUGUCAUAUUCCAAAGAAGCUUUAUUUGCACGAAACGAACAGACAGUUGCAUAGAUGGAGCUUUUGAUGGUAAGGACUGAGGAGGCAGCAGCCCACACCUAUGAUCUUGCAGCGCUCAAGUACAGGGAAUCAGACUGCAAACUCAACUUCCCAGUAUGGUUAGAGUGAUGGUUACCUAGCUUAGAAGAAGGACAUUGACACAACAAGGAUAGUUAUCUUGGGAAGAUGUGCUGUUGGACAAGUGUGAUCUGUGUUUUUUAUCUGUGCUGCACCGUGGACUACAAUGUGGAUGAAUGCAGACUAUACCACUCUCGUUGAUUCUAUCGCCACCUCGGAGCAAACAGGUGGUGAAACCGAGACCACCUUGGAGAAAAUAGGUGGUGAAAUUGCAGACACCUUGGAGCAAACAGGUGGAAAAACUGAAGAACUAGCCUUCGAUCCAAAGCAUCAUCUUCGCGCAAUGGCGUUGCGCGCCGCAGAGUUCUCCUUCGAGCCGGGACUCUCCCGUGCCGCCAAACCUCGAUGGGGAUGUCGUGCCCAUGGCGGUGGGAUGACCGCUUCCUUCGUGAGUGGUGAGUCAGUAGCAGUACUAUGUAUUUUAUCAAUAUAUUGUGCCAGUGCUGUAUUGACUAACAAAUAACAAACAAUGAAGAUAUAGAGCUGUAUUGUAAGAAAUUACAGAUUUUAUAAAAUGUUCACAAAAUUAGAA
This is an RNA transcript of Zea mays, 2869 nucleotides long. RefSeq lists it as uncharacterized. The transcript has 8 exons. The record is from RefSeq and is a predicted model, not a curated record. NCBI's taxonomy places the organism in Eukaryota, Viridiplantae, Streptophyta, Magnoliopsida, Poales, Poaceae.